Long non-coding RNA from Callithrix jacchus (white-tufted-ear marmoset), 1451 nucleotides. RefSeq lists it as uncharacterized. The record is from RefSeq and is a predicted model, not a curated record. NCBI's taxonomy places the organism in Eukaryota, Metazoa, Chordata, Mammalia, Primates, Cebidae.
GCAGCUGAGAUGAGAGAUCAGUCUCAAACCCAUCUUCCUGACUGAAUAAAAUUAGGUGUUUAUAUGGCAGGAAGAAAUGUAACUGUGUGGAAAAAAACAGAAACUGGCGGAAGAUAGGAAAGCAAUCAUGAUGAAUGAGGAGCCUGGCAUCUCAUGUCUGAAUGCAAUAAUCUGCAAAGAGAUCCUAAAACCUUGGAAUUUCCUGAGUGAUAACAGUAUCUUUUGCAUGUUAAUGAGAUGACUCUUUGGAAUAGGAGCCAGAUGAAUUCAGGAUGUGGUCUGCGGUCAUCAAUUCAUCAAUGUGAAAACCAACCCAGAUAUUAGCAGAGAUGAGGUCUCACUAUCUUGUCAGACUGGACUUGAACUCCUAGCAACCUCAAGUAAUACUUCUUCCUCAGCUUCCUGAGUCCCCAGGAUUACAGACAUGAGGCACCGAGCUCAAGGGUUAGAUUAUGCCCAGUUACUGAACAUGAUAAAACAGCAACAACAGCAACAAAACUCCAAAUGAAAAGAUUUGGGUAAUCUUCUAUCCUCUUUUUAAGACAUCACAAGUUAAUGAUUGAUAAUUUGGGAUCGACAAUACUGCUGAGCGUUUUUCAGGAUGUGAAUCACCUUUAAACCUAGGGUAUUGCUCUGAACAUGUGGCUACUGACCCUGGGCUUAACCAUAACUUGAAUUUUACUGAGCUUCAAACACUAGUUCCAGUGAAAAAUGGAACAAAUUCUACAAACUGCUUCACACAAAUAAUGCUUCUGGAUUGCUUGUUGUGCUCACUUGCAGAGCCGAAAGAAUCAUUUUUCUUCUAAUUCUUACAGACUACAAAAUGCAUUCGUCUUUCCACCUCUAAUCCAAGCCAUACCAUUUUUCCUCUGGUGAGUAAAUGGUUUUGUGGAGUCUCUGUUGGUCAUUAUAAUCCCUGGCUUAUGAAGGCUUCAAUGCUAUCCACAACUUCUGCAUUCUUCUGUAACCUUCAGUAUAGCACUUUGUCUGUUUGUAAAUAACUGUUAGAUAGUUUAGGAUAAAGAUGUCUUAAUCUUAUCAUUACAUGACUUUAUAUAGCUAUUUAAACAUAAUAUAAUACGGGCAUAACUCUAUAUAAAAAUAAAAUGUCAAGGACAUUAAAAACAUAUAAUAUGUAAAUAAAUAUCACAAUUUUUUAAAGAAAAAUCAUAGUACAUGGUUUAAAAAUGGACUUCUUUGCAAUUUGACUCCUGCCUGUGUCCAUACUCUUAACAAUUACAAAAUGUUAAAACCUUCACUUAGUACUGUAUAUAUCAAACCCUAAGUACUUUUGAAGUUUACACCAAUUAGCACCCUACAAAAUAGUUAUUACCAUUAAUGUCAUUUGACAAAUGAAAAAGCUGAGGUACUGAGUGACUUUAAACAUAGCCUAUAACCUCACAAAAUUUCGAUUUCUCCAUUUUGAUGGAAUAUAUAUGUGUUUAAAUUUU